GGGGUCAUAGCUCAGUUGGUAGAGCGUCGCGUUCGCAAUGCGAAGGUCUGCAGUUCGAUUCUGCAUGGCUCCACCA
Molecule: transfer RNA, 76 nt
Filed under: Pedosphaera sp.
Lineage: Bacteria; Pseudomonadati; Verrucomicrobiota; Pedosphaerae; Pedosphaerales; Pedosphaeraceae
Also listed under: 2 other names
Description: tRNA-Ala
Rfam family: tRNA
About the family: Transfer RNA (tRNA) molecules are approximately 80 nucleotides in length. Their secondary structure includes four short double-helical elements and three loops (D, anti-codon, and T loops).
Source: RNAcentral